This is a long non-coding RNA of Salarias fasciatus (jewelled blenny), 334 nucleotides long. RefSeq lists it as uncharacterized. The record is from RefSeq and is a predicted model, not a curated record. The transcript has 3 exons. NCBI's taxonomy places the organism in Eukaryota, Metazoa, Chordata, Actinopteri, Blenniiformes, Blenniidae.
CCACGGACCACAGACAGAGCUCAGAGAACUGCAACAACCUCACCAAAUUCACCAGAAGGAGCUGGACGUCGUGAUGACAAUGUGGAACACCGGGAUCCAGCCAGGCACUAAAAGAUACGAUCCCUUCCAUGGAAAACCUUUCCUCUGUAUCAUGUACCAGAACUUUACCGAGCACAGGACGACCUCCAGCCAGUGGACAGAGGGAACAUUGUCUUGGAAGAGGACAUCUGUCUUUGGAAAACUGACUUUGUCUGUGAUCCAGAUCUUCACCAGCUCUGCCUUGUGGUCAUAAAUAAACUGAAUCUUGAGGCAGGUCAUAAUGCUGCUGAGGCAA